GGUUAUCCAGAAUUUCCCGAAUGCUUAUCAAAAUUAUUGCUUUGCUGCUGUUGUUCCACAGAGCGGUGCUAGCUGUAAGCACAGCUUGUCCCCUGGAGCAGUCCUGCGGCAAGGCAAACGACAGCAGCGCCAUCUGCCGUCUGGAUGAGCAAACUAUGUGCAUACGCAAAUACGCAUCGAAAUGCCAUAUGGAUAUUGCAGCUUGUCGCGAGGGAGCGAGUACCUAGCAACCUAACCAAGUCACAAGACAAGCUUCACUUCAGUUAAACAUAGCCUAAACCUCUUCAUCAAUCAUCAAUCAUCAGUCAAGCUCACUUUCCAUGCGCGUGCUACGGUUGGUGACACCAUAAUAAUAGCCACCGCUAGGACUACACCGACUUCAGUGACGUUUACUGCCAGAUGGAGACAUAUAUGUGCGAAGAGACGGCGACAUAUGAACGCUGGACCAUAUUCUUCGGGCACGCCAAAGAUUGA
RNAcentral lists this unclassified non-coding RNA (474 nucleotides) under Drosophila mojavensis. RNAcentral describes it as "GI26328". The record is from RNAcentral. Lineage: Eukaryota; Metazoa; Arthropoda; Insecta; Diptera; Drosophilidae.